CCUUCAAUGUCAGCUCUUCCUAUCAUUGUGAAGCAGAAUUCACCAAGCGUUGGAUUGUUCACCUACUAAUAGGGAACGUCAGCUGGGUUUAGACCGUUGUGAGACAGGUU
This is a ribosomal RNA of Podiceps cristatus (great crested grebe), 110 nucleotides long. It matches the Rfam family "Eukaryotic large subunit ribosomal RNA", at positions 2875 to 2984 of the family's 3401-position model. NCBI's taxonomy places the organism in Eukaryota, Metazoa, Chordata, Aves, Podicipediformes, Podicipedidae. The record is from Rfam.